GGGUCAGUAGGUUGGUCGUGCCACCGGUACGUACUGGUCUCACUGAUUCCUCCUUCCUGAGGAACCGUAAUGCCAUUAAUUUGGUGUUGCGGGGAAACAGGACUGUUACUUUGAAAAAAUUAGAGUGUUUAAAGCAAGCUAACGCUCGAAUACAUUAGCAUGGAAUAAUGAAAUAGGACGAUCGAUCCUAUUUUGUUGGUUUCUAGGAUUGACGUA
Molecule: ribosomal RNA, 216 nt
Filed under: Glomeromycotina sp.
Lineage: Eukaryota; Fungi; Glomeromycota
Description: partial small subunit ribosomal RNA
Rfam family: Eukaryotic small subunit ribosomal RNA (bases 75-216)
Source: RNAcentral